Long non-coding RNA from Coturnix japonica (Japanese quail), 2961 nucleotides. RefSeq lists it as uncharacterized. Lineage: Eukaryota; Metazoa; Chordata; Aves; Galliformes; Phasianidae. The record is from RefSeq and is a predicted model, not a curated record.
AAUGUGUGUCUAAUGAAUUAGCCACGGAUUGGAGCCUAACAUGGGUAAUUUACACUGAACAUUCGCUCGCUCAGAAUCAUCCAUCAAUUUCUUACCACAUUAAAAUCGACAACCCGCUCUGGGAGUGCCUGCCUGGUGCUGCACCCCGUGUCCCUCCCUGGGUUCUGCUUUGUGUCAGAUCUCAAAGCUGCACUGUGGGGAUGAGGCUGAGGUCCCACAGGGAUAUGAAUGGGGCCAGGCUGCCCCUGGAGCCUGCAGAACUUCUGCAGGAAGUCAAUUAGACCCAACAGAUGGCGGAGAACAUCCCGGCAUCAGCACAUUGUGCCAUCUGCCGCCGCAGGAGAACGGGACGGCCCCGCACCGCAGCGACCCCAAAGCGGGGACCCACAGCACCGCCCGGGGGGAUCCCACGUGCGAUAAGAGCGAGCAGGAGCCGGGCCGAGCCGCGCAGCACGCAGUGCCCGCAGUGCCCGCACAUCCCCGUGCUCGGCAGGUGAGCCGGCAGCUCCGCACCUGCUGCUCCGCGCAAUCAGGAGCUGCUGGUACAAGAGGCAUUGACGCGGCUCUUCCUCAAUCAGCGGCUCUUCACGCCCAGCUCCGUGCCACUCGCUGCUGAUUGCCCUUUGUCUCCCGCAAGGCCUCGCGCUGCGCUGCUCCCGCAAGAUGGAUCGGGUUCCUCAGGGAGGCAGUAAUUAGCGCGGGGAUGAAUGCCGAGGCAGCCAAGCUCCCUCUUCACACGGCGGUGGUGAUUUGUAAACCUGUCACCAAACCACUGAACCCGGCUCGGCGUGAGCAGCUCCAUCUCCGCAGCACGUGGGUGUGCGGCUCAGGUGCUGGGUGAGGCUCAGGGUGAGGGUCGGGGUUGGCAGCAGAGGGGGCUGGAUCCCAGGAGGGGUUGCCCUGCCCCACCUGCAGUGCCCGCACCGCUGCUCUCCUGACUCCCUUCCACCUUCCCACUCCGCUUCAUGGCUUUCGUCUAAUUCCCUGCGCCCCUCUCCUAUUUUUCUUCUUGACAGAAGAAGCAGGCUCAUGCAUCUAGAAACUCCACGGCCUUUCUUGUAGCUGCAGAUUAAAUUUCCCUGCUCAGUGCCUGCUGGCCACAGGCUGAGCAACUAUACCUGAGUGUACGCCCCGGCCCAGGGGGAGAGGCUCUGUGCAGGCCGUGGGGACAUCCCUGCACUGUGCAGGGCCACAGCUUUGGGGCAGAGCUCCUCAGCUCCUGUAUCUCAUGCUCCGCUCUGCCCUUGACCCUGGGGAAGGUGCAGCACGUGGAGGGAGCCCGGCUGUUCUAAUUAAACCAUGUUUGCCAACUCCCGUGGUAAGCAUUGCUAAUUAAAAUUAGGGAGAGCAGCACUGCCUUCCCUGCCUCCUGGAGACGUGAACAAGUUCCCUGCGUGCUGACUGGGCUCGGAAGGUGCUGGGGGCUGCACAGCGCUGCAGGCAGAGUGGAUGGGGCAGCAGGCACAGCUCCACAGGGUGCCAGGCCCAUGGGGUGCCAUGGGGCUGCUGGUGCUGACCCCUCCAUCCCCACGUGGCGUGACUGUGCCCCGCAGCCCAGACACGCUCUCUUCAUGCUUGAACCACUGGCCUAACGAUUUCACGUUUUUUCCCCAUUUUCCUGUAUUAUUAUUUGUCGUUGUUCCUGUUGCAGUUCAGUGACCAUGAAUUAUUGAAUGUCUGCUCGUUCAGUAACUCUUUACUUCCACCUCGGCACACUGCAGCCUCGCAGCUGCACAGGACGGCCGCCAGCACCGCUCCCAGCCUGGAAAAUCUGCUGCCCCCCAUCCCGCUGCCCCCCAUCCCGCUGCCCCCUGCCCUGUGUGCCCUGCCCCACUGCUCCCAUCCCAUUGCUCUUCUCUGCACUGUGCCCUGUGUUGCUGCCUCCCAUCCUGCAGAUCCCAUCCCAUUGCUUCCCAUCCUGCUGCCCCCAACACUGCAGACUCCAUCCCAUCUCCCCACUUCCCGCUGCCCCCAUCCUUCUGCAUUCUGCCCCACAGCUCCACAUCCCAUUGCCCCACAGCACGUUCCCAUCUCUGCUCCUAUCCUUCAGCCUGUCCCCAGUGGGAUGGGGAGCACCAGGAGCUGGCUGCCUCGAGGAGCCCUGGAGGGGGUGUGGGUGGCAUCGGGACAACUGGGGCCUGUGGGGGCUGCGAGCAAUAGGGCAGUGCUGGGCGGAUGGGACACGCUGUGGCCAGGAGCAGGUUGGCACUUCGUUCCCAAAAAGCUGCUGCUUUCUCCACGGUGCUUUUGUGCUUAGGGCAGAGCUGAGAAAUCUCUGCUGGUAUUGUGGGAUUUCGCAGGAGUGAAGAAUAAAGUCUCUGAACUCCCUACAGCUGCAUUUUCUGAGCGCUGCAACACUCUGAUACCUCCAAAACACUAUUAAGCACCUGGUGCCAGGUUGUCUUUGCGACCGUGUGUCCUAAAUAAAUCCCUUCCCCAUGCUGAGCUGUGCUAAUGGCCAAUUGUUAAGUGGCCAGCCAAUGCAGAGUAAUAUGAAAUCAUUCUUCUUUUUUCAAGUCAUACCAGCAAAAAAUAAUUUGUCCGGCAUCUUUCUUGUAGGAUGAAGCCGAAACUGGGAAGCGGCAAAUCCCAGCUUGCACGCCCUUGGCCCUUUGCACGUGUGUGUGCAAAGUGCAUCCCAUGCCCCAGCCCCACUGCCUGGCACCCACGUGCUCGUCUCUCACUGCCGCCGUCUUGCACAUAAGUGGGCUCCUUGGGAGACUCGCUCCAUUUUUUUUCCCUUUAACCUUGAAAUGCAAUUUCCUCCCCCAAAAUACCCUUUUUUUUCCUGUAAACAACAUCUCUUUAGUGAGAUUACAGCAGAAAUCCCUGAGCUGCCGGGUCCCGGGCACUUUAUCACCCGGUGAGCCCCAUCCGUCACGGCUGUGCGUGUGUUCCCACGUCCCGCCCCAGCUGCCGAGCGAUGCUCUUUUCAUCAUUUUUACAGAUUUAUUUUACAAU